UGGCGGCGUGCCUAACACAUGCAAGUCGAACGAAGCAAUUAAGAUGAAGUUUUCGGAUGGAAUCUUGAUUGACUGAGUGGCGGACGGGUGAGUAACGCGUGGAUAACCUGCCUCACACUGGGGGAUAACAGUUAGAAAUGACUGCUAAUACCGCAUAAGCGCACAGUGCCGCAUGGCAGUGUGUGAAAAACUCCGGUGGUGUGAGAUGGAUCCGCGUCUGAUUAGCCAGUUGGCGGGGUAACGGCCCACCAAAGCGACGAUCAGUAGCCGACCUGAGAGGGUGACCGGCCACAUUGGGACUGAGACACGGCCCAAACUCCUACGGGAGGCAGCAGUGGGGAAUAUUGCACAAUGGGCGAAAGCCUGAUGCAGCGACGCCGCGUGAGUGAAGAAGUAUUUCGGUAUGUAAAGCUCUAUCAGCAGGGAAGAAAAUGACGGUACCUGACUAAGAAGCCCCGGCUAACUACGUGCCAGCAGCCGCGGUAAUACGUAGGGGGCAAGCGUUAUCCGGAUUUACUGGGUGUAAAGGGAGCGUAGACGGCGAAGCAAGUCUGAAGUGAAAACCCAGGGCUCAACCCUGGGACUGCUUUGGAAACUGUUUUGCUAGAGUGUCGGAGAGGUAAGUGGAAUUCCUAGUGUAGCGGUGAAAUGCGUAGAUAUUAGGAGGAACACCAGUGGCGAAGGCGGCUUACUGGACGAUAACUGACGUUGAGGCUCGAAAGCGUGGGGAGCAAACAGGAUUAGAUACCCUGGUAGUCCACGCCGUAUACGAUGAAUGCUAGGUGUUGGGGGGCAAAGCCCUUCGGUGCCGCCGCAAGCGCAGUAAGCAUUCCACCUGGGGAGUACGUUCGCAAGAAUGAAACUCAAAGGAAUUGACGGGGACCCCGCACAGCGGGUGGAGCAUGUGGUUUUAUUUCCAAGCAACCCGAAAAACCUUACCAAGUCUUGACAUCCCCCUGACGGGCCGGUAACGCGGCCUUUCCUUCGGGACAGGGGAGACAGGUGGUGCAUGGUUGUCGUCAGCUCGUGUCGUGAGAUGUUGGGUUAAGUCCCGCAACGAGCGCAACCCUUAUCCUUAGUAGCCAGCACGUGAAGGUGGGCACUCUAGGGAGACUGCCAGGGAUAACCUGGAGGAAGGUGGGGAUGACGUCAAAUCAUCAUGCCCCUUAUGAUUCGGGCUACACACGUGCUACAAUGGCGUAAACAAAGGGAAGCGAGACAGUGAUGUGGAGCAAAUCCCAAAAAUAACGUCCCAGUUCGGACUGUAGUCUGCAACCCGACUACACGAAGCUGGAAUCGCUAGUAAUCGCGAAUCAGAAUGUCGCGGUGAAUACGUUCCCGGGUCUUGUACACACCGCCCGUCACACCAUGGGAGUCAGCAACGCCCGAAGUCAGUGACCCAACCGAAAGGAGGGAGCUGCCGAAGGCGGGGCAGG
This 1436-nucleotide ribosomal RNA is filed under the name uncultured organism. Its description in RNAcentral is "16S ribosomal RNA". It matches the Rfam family "Bacterial small subunit ribosomal RNA". The record is from RNAcentral.